GGAGAAAUACCCAAGUGGCUGAAGGGGUGGGCUUGGAAAGCUCAUAGGCUUGUAACAGGGCGCGAGGGUUCGAAUCCCUCUUUCUCCGCCA
Molecule: transfer RNA, 91 nt
Filed under: Candidatus Onthovivens merdipullorum
Lineage: Bacteria; Bacillati; Bacillota; Bacilli; Caryophanales
Description: tRNA-Ser
Rfam family: tRNA
About the family: Transfer RNA (tRNA) molecules are approximately 80 nucleotides in length.
Source: RNAcentral